Molecule: small RNA, 1202 nt
Filed under: Histoplasma capsulatum
Lineage: Eukaryota; Fungi; Ascomycota; Eurotiomycetes; Onygenales; Ajellomycetaceae
Also listed under: 1 other name
Description: hypothetical RNA
Source: RNAcentral
CAGCAGGAAAUCCCCUGUUGGUCAGAAUUGCAACAAAUCUCACAAUACUGUCGAUUCCGGGAAGCGGAUCCAUUGAUUCAGCGUUCAAGCUUUUCGAUAGCCUUUGAAUAGAAGGACACAUUCCUCAUCCUUCUUUGUUUCAAAGGAUUCUUUUAACCACUUUUGGGACCAUGGAUUCACUUUCGAGCAAUCAGGGUGAAGCAAAAAAUGCCGGUUAAAAGGACGUGUCUAAAAAGUCUCCGAAACUAACUUUUAGAGCACAACAGGGAUGGAAGCAGAAGGACGAGAUCAAUUGACCGUGUGAUAGUAAGCCACUGCUGGCACACUUUUUUGAUACUAUUUUACGCAGGAUUUUUUCUCCUCAGGCGUCAUAAACGGGAGCCUCGGUAUUGCAUGGUUUUGAUUGUUUAUUGGAUGGCAUGGACCUUAAACGAUACUCAACUUACUACCAGCCGGUUUGUCAUGGAUCACGCAUUAUCAAGAAUUUGCAAGCACAGAUGCAUCGUACCUGAAGCUAUAAAUACCCAUGUUUUUUAAGCGUCUAUCCCUGCGGUGUCAAGAGUCUCAUCUUCUCGUUCUGGAAGGCGAUCCUAACACGCUGAUUCGCUGACACAGUAGUUUCAUUUUAGAUCUAUUUUUUAAAAGCUAUCGCGGUACAAGAGAUCGCGGAGCGUUUCAUUACUCUUCAAACGAGCCCAUGAGCCAUGCCCCGCCGCGAAACAAGAAGAUGUAAGAAAUGCCAAGAGAUGCUUCCUAUUUUCUGCGGCAACGAUCAAUUCCCAGAUUGGGGGUGGCUUGUGCCAAAAUGAUGGCAAAAGCUGAUGAUGAGCGCAGCAUCUCAGCUCAGCUAUUUGGUUCAGUUAGUUGCCUAGACAUUUCUGCAAAGUAAAAUCCAAGUUGUCAAGAAGCGAUCAGAGAGUCAAGAUGCAAGCUCAACUACAAAGUAUGGUUGAUCUUUUUUAAAACGAGUCAAGGAUAUCAACCUCCACAUUAUUCCGGAACUUUCUUAUAUUCGAUGAAAAUACUUCUAGGUAGAAAGAAACAAGUCAGGAGCCUCAGAAGAACUCCGUUUUUCUUGAUCUACUUGCUUGAAGGGGAUAAUAAUCAAGAUGAUUUUUAAAAAAAGAUUGAGGGGCCUCAAGAAUGGGAGAAACUAAAAUUCAGCCAGCUGGAAUUUCUACAAUCGCAUUGGGGAAGAGGUC